RNAcentral lists this ribosomal RNA (1149 nucleotides) under Klebsiella aerogenes. RNAcentral's name for it is "bacterial SSU rRNA". It matches the Rfam family "Bacterial small subunit ribosomal RNA", at positions 10 to 1151 of the family's 1533-position model. Lineage: Bacteria; Pseudomonadati; Pseudomonadota; Gammaproteobacteria; Enterobacterales; Enterobacteriaceae. The record is from RNAcentral.
AGUUUGAUCAUGGCUCAGAUUGAACGCUGGCGGCAGGCCUAACACAUGCAAGUCGAGCGGUAACACAGAGAGCUUGCUCUCGGGUGACGAGCGGCGGACGGGUGAGUAAUGUCUGGGAAACUGCCUGAUGGAGGGGGAUAACUACUGGAAACGGUAGCUAAUACCGCAUAACGUCGCAAGACCAAAGUGGGGGACCUUCGGGCCUCAUGCCAUCAGAUGUGCCCAGAUGGGAUUAGCUAGUAGGUGGGGUAAUGGCUCACCUAGGCGACGAUCCCUAGCUGGUCUGAGAGGAUGACCAGCCACACUGGAACUGAGACACGGUCCAGACUCCUACGGGAGGCAGCAGUGGGGAAUAUUGCACAAUGGGCGCAAGCCUGAUGCAGCCAUGCCGCGUGUAUGAAGAAGGCCUUCGGGUUGUAAAGUACUUUCAGCGAGGAGGAAGGCGUUAAGGUUAAUAACCUUGGCGAUUGACGUUACUCGCAGAAGAAGCACCGGCUAACUCCGUGCCAGCAGCCGCGGUAAUACGGAGGGUGCAAGCGUUAAUCGGAAUUACUGGGCGUAAAGCGCACGCAGGCGGUCUGUCAAGUCGGAUGUGAAAUCCCCGGGCUCAACCUGGGAACUGCAUUCGAAACUGGCAGGCUAGAGUCUUGUAGAGGGGGGUAGAAUUCCAGGUGUAGCGGUGAAAUGCGUAGAGAUCUGGAGGAAUACCGGUGGCGAAGGCGGCCCCCUGGACAAAGACUGACGCUCAGGUGCGAAAGCGUGGGGAGCAAACAGGAUUAGAUACCCUGGUAGUCCACGCCGUAAACGAUGUCGACUUGGAGGUUGUGCCCUUGAGGCGUGGCUUCCGGAGCUAACGCGUUAAGUCGACCGCCUGGGGAGUACGGCCGCAAGGUUAAAACUCAAAUGAAUUGACGGGGGCCCGCACAAGCGGUGGAGCAUGUGGUUUAAUUCGAUGCAACGCGAAGAACCUUACCUACUCUUGACAUCCAGAGAACUUAGCAGAGAUGCUUUGGUGCCUUCGGGAACUCUGAGACAGGUGCUGCAUGGCUGUCGUCAGCUCGUGUUGUGAAAUGUUGGGUUAAGUCCCGCAACGAGCGCAACCCUUAUCCUUUGUUGCCAGCGAUUCGGUCGGGAACUCAAAGGAGACUG